AUCAUUUAACUAUAUAAGUGUAUAUUUUGAAAAUAUAAAAAAGAUAAAUUCUAAUGAUUU
Molecule: transfer RNA, 60 nt
Filed under: Pentapycnon charcoti
Lineage: Eukaryota; Metazoa; Arthropoda; Pycnogonida; Pantopoda; Pycnogonidae
Description: tRNA-Ser
Source: RNAcentral